UACGUAGGGAGCAAGCGUUGUCCGGAAUCAUUGGGCGUAAAGCGCGUGUAGGCGGCCCGGAAAGUCUGGUGUGAAAUCUUGAGGCUCAACCUCAAGCUGUCACUGGAUACUGUCGGGCUUGAGUCCGGAAGAGGAGUGUGGAAUUCCUGGUGUAGCGGUGGAAUGCGCAGAUAUCAGGAGGAACACCUAUGGCGAAGGCAGCACUCUGGUACGUGACUGACGCUGAGACGCGAAAGCGUGGGGAGCAAACAGG
Molecule: ribosomal RNA, 253 nt
Filed under: uncultured bacterium
Lineage: Bacteria
Description: partial 16S ribosomal RNA
Rfam family: Bacterial small subunit ribosomal RNA
Source: RNAcentral